CCACAUUUUCUUUAUCCAGUCUGCCAUUGAUGAGCAUUUAGGUUGAUUCCAUAUCUUUACUAUUGUGAAUAGUACUGCAAUAAACAUAUGUGUGCAUGUGUCUUUGUAGUAGAAUGAUAUAUAUUACUUUGGGUAUAUACCCAGUAAUGAGAUUGCUGGGUCGAGUGCUAUUUCUGUCUCUAGGUCUUUGAGGAAUCACCACACUGUCUUCAACAAUGGUUGAAUUAGUUGUCUUUUAAUGAAGUGAAAGUCAAAGAAAUAAGAUAGCCAAUGCCUAGACUAUAAAUGCAUAACAUUGUAUAUUUACUGUUAAAGAAAAAGUAGACAAGUUUCAUAAGUUGAUUUGUAAGUAAUAUAUUUAGGAGACUACAAAAAUUUUGAGACUGUGUAUAUCAUAGGAUGCUGUUUGUUUGUAUCCUCCAAAUAGGUAACAAGUCCAUAUGAGGCAUAGUUAAGUCUGUGGGUGCUUCAUUGAGGAGUAGAACCUUGAAAAGGUAAAAAAAAAAAAAAAAAAAAAAAAAAAAAAGAGAAAAAGAAAAAGAAUUAUGCUCAGAUAGCAUCUUUUCAGUGUAAAUUUUUCUAAUAACUAUAUUUAUUUUUACAGACUUCUGCCUUGAUGAACAAAUUCGAACACCAGUUUGAAAUAUUGGAUAUUCAAACACAACAAAUGGAAGAUAAAAUGAGUAACUCUACAACCCUAACAACACCACAAAACCAAAUGGAUAUGCUGCUUCAGGAAAUGCCAGAUGAAGCUAGGUAAGAAGUUAUCCAGGUGAUUGUGGAAAAUCUUGAUUUAGUAUCUAGAGGUUCUAAAAUGCUGUGAUAUAGAUGAAAAUAUUUCUCUUUUCCACGAAUUGCCAGAGUUAGGUUUGUGACCCUAGAAUUUAGUGUUUCAAGGGACUUUAAACAGUCAUCUAAUUCCUUGCCAUGCUCAUAAAAAUUUGACUGUGUUUCAAUCAUCUUAGUAUUUUCUUAAAAAUUUCUGGAAAUAGACUCAUUUAGUGUGUGUAAAGAAAUAGGCAAAGGUGAUCAAAGGAAGCAGGAAUGUUUAAACAAUUACCUAAUACCUACUGUUCGCUGCAUAUAUGAAAUAUAUGGUGUGUUUUGUUUUUUGUUUUUUUUAAAAAAAGGACCUUCCAAAAUAAUUCUGCUGUGAUUAGGCCAUUGAGUCAUAAGUCUAGUUUGAGUACUGCAAACUGAGCAAUAUGUGCAAAAUGUGCAAGGGGCUCAAAAGACAGCAGUAUUACACAUAAUGAUUUGGUUGUUUCUUUUAAGUAAAUAGUUCAUACCCUUUUGUGAUAUUGUUAUUGGAAAUAGGGUGUAUAAUACAAGCUGUUUAUUUCAGGCCCUUCAUGUCAUGGGAGAAUGACUUAUCUAUGACAUCUUUGCUAUAGAGGUCAUGUUGUAUCAUUAUUCUCUGGUGUAAUGUUUGCUUCAAGAUAAUGUAGUAGUAAAAAA
This 1458-nucleotide long non-coding RNA is filed under the name Macaca mulatta (Rhesus monkey). RNAcentral describes it as "lncRNA (ENSMMUG00000050986.1)". Lineage: Eukaryota; Metazoa; Chordata; Mammalia; Primates; Cercopithecidae. The record is from RNAcentral.